RNAcentral lists this ribosomal RNA (461 nucleotides) under uncultured bacterium. RNAcentral describes it as "SSU rRNA". It matches the Rfam family "Bacterial small subunit ribosomal RNA", at positions 26 to 518 of the family's 1533-position model. The record is from RNAcentral.
AGAAUCAACGCUGGCGCGGUGCCUAACGACGAUGCAAGUCGAACGAGAAAGUGGAGCAAUCCACAAGUAAAGUGGCGCACGGGUGAGUAACACGUGACUAACCUACCCUUGAGUGGGGGAUAACCUAGAGAAAUCUGGGCUAAUACCGCAUAAUACCUUCGGGUCAAAGGAGCAAUUCGCUUAAGGAGGGGGUCGCGGCCGAUUAGUUAGUUGGCGGGGUAAUGGCCCACCAAGACUAUGAUCGGUAUCCGGCCUGAGAGGGCGCACGGACACACUGGAACUGAAACACGGUCCAGACUCCUACGGGAGGCAGCAGUGGGGAAUUUGCGCAAUGGGGGAAACCCUGACGCAGCAACGCCGCGUGGAGGAUGAAGCCCCUUGGGGCGUAAACUCCUUUCGAUCGGGACGAUAAUGACGGUACCGAGAGAAGAAGCCCCGGCUAACUUCGCGCCAGCAGCCGC